GUGCUCCCUUCGGCAGCGCAUAGACUACAACAUGAGAUACUGAGAAGAAUAGCGCGGCCCCAUGCGCAAGGAUGACACGCAGAUUCGUGAAGCAAACAAUGUCAAG
Molecule: small nuclear RNA, 106 nt
Organism: Echinops telfairi (small Madagascar hedgehog)
Lineage: Eukaryota; Metazoa; Chordata; Mammalia; Afrosoricida; Tenrecidae
Source: Ensembl